AAAAAAAAAAAAAAAAAAAUAUUAAGUGAGCCUAAAAGGAGAAUGGCGAAAGGGGAUCCGGUACUCAUUCCGGAACCUGGACAUGAGGAGUAGUGUUGCUUUUUAUGCAUCACCUAGCCGCAAGGCAUUUACCAACCUGGAGAAUCCAACCAGAGAGCCGGGAAGAGUUGUCUUUUCUGCUUAAGGGAUAGAGGGCCUUGUGAACUGGGUCGGUCAGAGAGAGGGUCUUUGUCCCGAAUAGCGCCGCGGUUCUUGCGGAGUCCAGCUCCUCUGGUGUGGAACUUGAAAAUCCAGGGGUAAGAAUGAAAUACCUUCAUGCCAGUUCGUACCCAUAUCCGCA
This 340-nucleotide ribosomal RNA is filed under the name Undulacandona aeolus. Its description in RNAcentral is "partial large subunit ribosomal RNA". It matches the Rfam family "Eukaryotic large subunit ribosomal RNA", at positions 1558 to 1858 of the family's 3401-position model. The record is from RNAcentral. Lineage: Eukaryota; Metazoa; Arthropoda; Ostracoda; Podocopida; Candonidae.